Molecule: ribosomal RNA, 235 nt
Filed under: uncultured bacterium
Lineage: Bacteria
Description: partial 16S ribosomal RNA
Rfam family: Bacterial small subunit ribosomal RNA
Source: RNAcentral
UGGCGGACGGGUGAGUAAUGUCUGGGAAACUGCCUGAUGGAGGGGGAUAACUACUGGAAACGGUAGCUAAUACCGCAUAACGUCGCAAGACCAAAGAGGGGGACCUUCGGGCCUCUUGCCAUCGGAUGUGCCCAGGUGGGAUUAGCUAGUAGGUGGGGUAACGGCUCACCUAGGCGACGAUCCCUAGCUGGUCUGAGAGGAUGACCAGCCACACUGGAACUGAGACACGGUCCAG